GAUACCCAAAUUGACUCGGCGUGCCCUCGCCGCCGCCGCCCCUGCCCCCAAUCAGAGAUACCCGCGCCGCCACCGCCCCCAACCAUAGAUGCCCGCGCCACCACCGCCCCCAACCAUAGAUGCCCGCGCCGCCGCCGCCCCCAAUCGGAGAUGCCCUCGCCGCCACCGCCACCCCUGUCUAUGUUCUCAACCACCCCGACCACUACUUCCGUCGUCCCCAACACCCUAUUGCAGCACCGCCUAUCACCCAACUAAUACAGAUCUAAGCCGCAGGCACUCCAACGCCGACCACCGUUCUCCGCCCAACGCUCCAUUGGCACCACCCUACUCCGUGAGCCCCCUCCUCCAAGCAGAACUUGACAAACGAGCACCAAGCAGGGCCACCUCCUCUACGUCCUCUACCCAAGCAGCGGAGUGUUCGUCUCCUCCAGCGAGCAGCUCUGCCUCCUCAACAUCCUAAAUCUAGGCAGCGCUGCCUCCUCUACUUUCCUACCCCAACCGAGAGCAUUUGGUAGGUGAGAUUUGUUUGCUAACUUCUAUUAUUAUUCAGUGUAGCAGUUUUAGUCAGAGAUGCAGUGUAUUGACAUGAAGCUUCGAUUGGCGGAAAGCUGGCCAAAUUUUCUGGAAAAAUCAGUUCUUGCAAAACAUCAACAGGAGACAGGCACACUGAUUGUUUAGGGCGGAUGCUCUUAGGUACCAGGAGUAUGUUGUUACCUAUGAAGCAAGGAUGCUGACUGCAUGCUCGUUGGUGGGUUCCUAAAUUUUGUGGGUUGUGAUAUCCAUGCACCUAAACAUAUGAUGUUUUAUUGUGGCAUUCUUCUCUUACAUGCAGUACUUUUGCCCACUCGGGCAAUAUCCCUUUUGCUAUUCUCUAUUGAUGUAACUUUGGUUAGAGAACUUGGGAGAUCUUGAUAGAACUUGUACCACAAGUGGAUCACCCUUUACACCAGCCUUUUAGAGUUGAUGAGCUUCAUAGAAUUUGUAAUAUGGUAGCUCAGACUUCUACACAAGUGGUUUACCCUUUUCACCAGCCUUUCAGAGUUGAUUUUUGCAGUAGUUUUCAAAACAUACUCUGCAAGUUGAUGCCCCCAUGUGUAAAAAUUGCUAUUUGGGUAAUCAAGUCUUCCAAGUUCUCCAUGAAGCCAAGCUUGCUCUUCCUUUUCUUUCUAAAAUACCCAAUGUACAUACACUGUUUCUGUAUUUUUUCACUCGCCUUUAUCUAUGUAUCCUCCUAUAAUUUGUAUGCUAUUGGCCUUUUCCUAUACGCAGUUGAAUGAGUCAUCACGUACUCUUUAGCUAUUAAGGUAUACCUGUCCAUGCAUCAUUUACAGCUUGUUUACCACUAUAUGUCGGAAACUGAGAAUCAUGAGGCUCUGAUGCUGCUGGAGUGGGGAUUUAUGUUCAAACACACUAGUAUGUAUGUAAUACUAAUACUUCACAUUGUUGUUUAUGAAGUUUUUAUAAAAAAAUAUUCGCAUGGAAUCCGAUGCUCCCUCCAUUGUCAUGGUUUUAUAUUUAGUUUCAUUGUUUGUUGGCAUUCCUUAUUAAUAAGCUAGUCCUUGUUGUAAUUUCAUGUAUAUUAAAUUGAGUGCUUAAAUUGUCCGUUGUUUCUCGGUAACCUAUGAAAUAGAGCAGACUUACAAUAUGAAUAGUAGGCUUUCAGUUCCACGUGCAAAUACAAUUGGUGAUUAACAAAAGUUCAAAGAAAGAAUGCAAAUCAAUUAUUGAUAUUUGCUCAAAGUCAUUAAAAAUCUGGGAGUUUCCAGGGAACACAUAUGGAACUGGGAUAUGAGGGUUUCUACAAGUUUUGGGCUUCAUAUUCCAACAAGUUCCAGUCAAAGCCAAUUUCAUGUUUCUGUUUUUUGUCAGCAGCUUGCUAAUAAUGCACAUUUCUCUAAAUUGCCAGUUACCUUUGAGUUGAUACAUUUUACUAUCUCGAGAUUCUUGUGGCAUUCCUGAACAAUUUCCGUUGAUCCAAAUUCUCAUCCCUCAUGUUAUGGGCCUCAAAGAGCGGCUGGAAGACUCAUUUAAGGUUUCUCAAAGAUACACAAGUUGAUGGAGGUUUGGAAUAUCGAGAACUUGCUGGAGGUUUUGAAGGUCUUCAAGUUGCUGGAGUGAUUAUAUAAUAUGCCUUGUUUGUUGAACCUCCAGAUAUUGGCAAGUUUUACACUGCUCAUUUUGGUGGUCGUUUCAGCACACGAGCCAUUGUAUGCCUAUUUUGGUUGUGUGGCACGAUUUCUUUACCUUAAACAUAUGUACUUUGCCUUUUGAGGCACAAUGUCAUUAUAUAUGUACGGUUCAUGCAUGCGUUAAAAGCAUAUGGUUUUGGUCUGUU
This is a long non-coding RNA of Triticum dicoccoides, 2335 nucleotides long. RefSeq lists it as uncharacterized. The transcript has 3 exons. Lineage: Eukaryota; Viridiplantae; Streptophyta; Magnoliopsida; Poales; Poaceae. The record is from RefSeq and is a predicted model, not a curated record.